UUCUAAUCUUAUUGAGAUUUAGCUACUAAUAUAAAUACGUCUUUUACUAUGUGGAUUGAUGCAUCGGAUGAGAGAGAUUAUGAGACGUAUUUUUGGACUUAGAAUUUUGUAAGAAGAUACUCCAGCUCGAUUAUAUUAAAAAUUUCUGCUCCGUCCUCGCCCACAGACUUUGGACCGUGGCGGAACGACGUAAUUUACUUCUAUGCUUUAUUUUUUAUUUCUCUUUAUCAAUUCUUUUUUGAUAUUUCGCACUCGACGAAUUAGAUUUUUUCCACAUUUAUCGUAACAUA
This 290-nucleotide long non-coding RNA is filed under the name Ananas comosus (pineapple). RNAcentral describes it as "long non-coding RNA (ACOM_LNC015868)". Lineage: Eukaryota; Viridiplantae; Streptophyta; Magnoliopsida; Poales; Bromeliaceae. The record is from RNAcentral.